Molecule: transfer RNA, 106 nt
Filed under: Candidatus Aenigmatarchaeota archaeon
Lineage: Archaea; Nanobdellati; Candidatus Aenigmatarchaeota
Description: tRNA-Ile
Rfam family: tRNA
About the family: Transfer RNA (tRNA) molecules are approximately 80 nucleotides in length. Their secondary structure includes four short double-helical elements and three loops (D, anti-codon, and T loops).
Source: RNAcentral
GGGCCCCUAGCUUACAUGAACUCUAACUGGAGUCCAUGGCUAAAAGUCUGGUUGGAGCACUCGGCUGAUAACCGAGCGGUCGUGAGUUCAAAUCUCACGGGGCCCA